UUAAGCGACUAAGCGUACACGGUGGAUGCCCUGGCAGUCAGAGGCGAUGAAGGACGUGCUAAUCUGCGAAAAGCGUCGGUAAGGUGAUAUGAACCGUUAUAACCGGCGAUGUCCGAAUGGGGAAACCCAGUGCAAUUCGUUGCACUAUCGUUAACUGAAUACAUAGGUUAACGAGGCGAACCGGGGGAACUGAAACAUCUAAGUACCCCGAGGAAAAGAAAUCAACCGAGAUUCCCCCAGUAGCGGCGAGCGAACGGGGAGCAGCCCAGAGUCUGAAUCAGCUUGUGUGUUAGUGGAACGGUCUGGAAAGUCCGACGGUACAGGGUGAUAGUCCCGUACACCAAAAUGCACAGGCUGUGAACUCGAAGAGUAGGGCGGGACACGUGGUAUCCUGUCUGAAUAUGGGGGGACCAUCCUCCAAGGCUAAAUACUCCUGACUGACCGAUAGUGAACCAGUACCGUGAGGGAAAGGCGAAAAGAACCCCGGCGAGGGGAGUGAAAAAGAACCUGAAACCGUGUACGUACAAGCAGUGGGAGCACCUUCGGGUGUGACUGCGUACCUUUUGUAUAAUGGGUCAGCGACUUAUAUUCUGUAGCAAGGUUAACCGUAUAGGGGAGCCGCAGGGAAACCGAGUCUUAACUGGGCGUUAAGUUGCAGGGUAUAGACCCGAAACCCGGUGAUCUAGCCAUGGGCAGGUUGAAGGUUGGGUAACACUAACUGGAGGACCGAACCGACUAAUGUUGAAAAAUUAGCGGAUGACUUGUGGCUGGGGGUGAAAGGCCAAUCAAACCGGGAGAUAGCUGGUUCUCCCCGAAAGCUAUUUAGGUAGCGCCUCGUGAAUUCAUCUUCGGGGUAGAGCACUGUUUCGGCUAGGGGGUCAUCCCGACUUACCAACCCGAUGCAAACUACGAAUACCGAAGAAUGUUAUCACGGGAGACACACGGCGGGUGCUAACGUCCGUCGUGAAGAGGGAAACAACCCAGACCGCCAGCUAAGGUCCCAAAGUCAUGGUUAAGUGGGAAACGAUGUGGGAAGGCACAGACAGCCAGGAUGUUGGCUUAGAAGCAGCCAUCAUUUAAAGAAAGCGUAAUAGCUCACUGAUCGAGUCGGCCUGCGCGGAAGAUGUAACGGGGCUAAACCAUGCACCGAAGCUGCGGCAGCGACACUAUGUGUUGUUGGGUAGGGGAGCGUUCUGUAAGCCUGCGAAGGUGACCUGUGAGGGUUGCUGGAGGUAUCAGAAGUGCGAAUGCUGACAUAAGUAACGAUAAAGCGGGUGAAAAGCCCGCUCGCCGGAAGACCAAGGGUUCCUGUCCAACGUUAAUCGGGGCAGGGUGAGUCGACCCCUAAGGCGAGGCCGAAAGGCGUAGUCGAUGGGAAACAGGUUAAUAUUCCUGUACUUGGUGUUACUGCGAAGGGGGGACGGAGAAGGCUAUGUUAGCCGGGCGACGGUUGUCCCGGUUUAAGCAUGUAGGCUGGUUAUCCAGGCAAAUCCGGAUAAUCAAGGCUGAGGUGUGAUGACGAGGCACUACGGUGCUGAAGUAACAAAUGCCCUGCUUCCAGGAAAAGCCUCUAAGCAUCAGGUAACAUUAAAUCGUACCCCAAACCGACACAGGUGGUCAGGUAGAGAAUACCAAGGCGCUUGAGAGAACUCGGGUGAAGGAACUAGGCAAAAUGGUGCCGUAACUUCGGGAGAAGGCACGCUGGUGUGUAGGUGAAGUCCCUGCGGAUGGAGCUGAGACCAGUCGAAGAUACCAGCUGGCUGCAACUGUUUAUUAAAAACACAGCACUGUGCAAACACGAAAGUGGACGUAUACGGUGUGACGCCUGCCCGGUGCCGGAAGGUUAAUUGAUGGGGUUAUCCGUAAGGAGAAGCUCUUGAUCGAAGCCCCGGUAAACGGCGGCCGUAACUAUAACGGUCCUAAGGUAGCGAAAUUCCUUGUCGGGUAAGUUCCGACCUGCACGAAUGGCGUAAUGAUGGCCAGGCUGUCUCCACCCGAGACUCAGUGAAAUUGAACUCGCUGUGAAGAUGCAGUGUACCCGCGGCAAGACGGAAAGACCCCGUGAACCUUUACUAUAGCUUGACACUGAACAUUGAGCCUUGAUGUGUAGGAUAGGUGGGAGGCUUUGAAGCGUGGACGCCAGUCUGCGUGGAGCCAACCUUGAAAUACCACCCUUUAAUGUUUGAUGUUCUAACGUUGGCCCCUGACCGGGGUUGCGGACAGUGUCUGGUGGGUAGUUUGACUGGGGCGGUCUCCUCCCAAAGCGUAACGGAGGAGCACGAAGGUUAGCUAAUCCUGGUCGGACAUCAGGAGGUUAGUGCAAUGGCAUAAGCUAGCUUGACUGCGAGCGUGACGGCGCGAGCAGGUGCGAAAGCAGGUCAUAGUGAUCCGGUGGUUCUGAAUGGAAGGGCCAUCGCUCAACGGAUAAAAGGUACUCCGGGGAUAACAGGCUGAUACCGCCCAAGAGUUCAUAUCGACGGCGGUGUUUGGCACCUCGAUGUCGGCUCAUCACAUCCUGGGGCUGAAGUAGGUCCCAAGGGUAUGGCUGUUCGCCAUUUAAAGUGGUACGCGAGCUGGGUUUAGAACGUCGUGAGACAGUUCGGUCCCUAUCUGCCGUGGGCGCUGGAGAAUUGAGGGGGGCUGCUCCUAGUACGAGAGGACCGGAGUGGACGCAUCACUGGUGUUCGGGUUGUCAUGCCAAUGGCACUGCCCGGUAGCUAAAUGCGGAAGAGAUAAGUGCUGAAAGCAUCUAAGCACGAAACUUGCCCCGAGAUGAGUUCUCCCUGAGACUUUAAGUCUCCUGAAGGAACGUUAAAGACGAUGACGUUGAUAGGCCGGGUGUGUAAGCGCAGCGAUGCGUUGAGCUAACCGGUACUAAUGAACCGUGAGGCUUAACCUU
This 2899-nucleotide ribosomal RNA is filed under the name Serratia liquefaciens. RNAcentral's name for it is "23S ribosomal RNA". It matches the Rfam family "Bacterial large subunit ribosomal RNA". The record is from RNAcentral. Lineage: Bacteria; Pseudomonadati; Pseudomonadota; Gammaproteobacteria; Enterobacterales; Yersiniaceae.